CCGUUUCUACAGCAACAUCACUGCUUCCUGCUCUAUGCUUGGCCAAAUGAAGAGAAGAGGAAUAGAGAGACAGCAGGCAACGAAGACAAUUUGUUAAGGCCUCCCUGAUGCAUCCUUUGUGACUUAAGUCAGAGCAUGUAUCACUAUACUUAGAAUCUGCACAGAUCUGAACCUCCCUAACACUGAACAAUAUUAAUAUUCUAUCCUUUCUUUUCUUUUAGUGAUUAAUUUUACUCCUUUCAGUUUUUUCUCUGAGCUUAUCGCUUGUCAGACAUAUUCUAUUAUUGAUUAUCCAUUAUCUUUCUCACCAUUGAAUGUCCAGAUGCAUCCAGUUGCAUUAGUUUAGAAAUUGAGAGCGUUGUGGAGCUUACAAUAUUACUUCACUCAGCAGAAAGAGGAUAUUGCUAUGUCGAGCGAUCUGGGCGUUGUCAGUGCUGUUGCGGCUUCUCCAAUAUUUUGGAAUCCCUUGCUGAGGUGGGAGACGAUUGGAGCAUCCAUGGUUGUAUGAGAAAAAAAGAACUUUUUACCAUGCUUGUUCCUGCAAUUUGGUGGACAUACCAUGUGGCUCCAUUUUAGUACAUUCUCCUUUCCAGAAAAGAUAAAUGAUCAAAAUACCUCUAACACAGUAACACUAGCUAAAACUAUAGAAAGGAGCGGCAAACAUAGUUCCGCCAUCUUCCUAGAGGUACACUGCCUACUUGCUGCUUGCAUAUCUGUUUCUGUUACUCAUUGAACAGGUGCAGCACCACGUUGAAGUUAAUUUUCCAAUAGCUCCAUAGAGAUCAUCACUUUUUUUUCUUACAUCUUCCUGGAGGUACACUGCCUACUUGCUGCUUGCAUAUCUGUUUCUGUCACUCAUUGAACAAGUGCAGCACCACGUUGAAGUUAAUUUUCCCAUAGCCCCAUAGAGAUCAUCAGUUUUUUCCCCUUCCCUGGCUGCUAAUUUGAAUGUUUAGCCUGACAGCAUCUUUGGACUUUCCUAUUUACCUGCAAGGUUAAAUAUGGCUGGCUCUUUGAUCACAGAUUUGCUUCUUUCCAUGGAUGUUCAUAAACUUCCUCACACUCCACAGCUUCAUAGUUGUUUAGGUUUCGUUCUCCUUUGUAAGGCACUGUGCAACCUACCGAAAUAAGAAUUGCAUUGUCCC
Panicum virgatum (switchgrass) is the source of this 1145-nucleotide long non-coding RNA. RefSeq lists it as uncharacterized. Lineage: Eukaryota; Viridiplantae; Streptophyta; Magnoliopsida; Poales; Poaceae. The record is from RefSeq and is a predicted model, not a curated record. The transcript has 2 exons.